GCUGGUGGUGGCGCGUGGUGUGUCGCGGACGAAACUGGCGCUUUCAUCGUCGGGGUUGUCGUUCCAUGCGACCAGCCAGUU
This 81-nucleotide transfer RNA is filed under the name Pseudomonas extremaustralis. RNAcentral's name for it is "tRNA-Ala". The record is from RNAcentral. Lineage: Bacteria; Pseudomonadati; Pseudomonadota; Gammaproteobacteria; Pseudomonadales; Pseudomonadaceae.